Molecule: long non-coding RNA, 492 nt
Organism: Suricata suricatta (meerkat)
Lineage: Eukaryota; Metazoa; Chordata; Mammalia; Carnivora; Herpestidae
Exons: 2
Source: RefSeq, a predicted model, not a curated record
ACUCACAUGAACACUAGCCUCAGACAUGUGUUCCCUGCUGUGAGAACCAAAGCCAAUGGAGCAUGAGUGAUCUUUGCUGUCUCUUCCAGGUCAUCAGGACGGACAGAAGACGAGGAGAAUGGUUUCAUAUUGAGCAGAGGUGAGUUGCUCAACAGCUCCUCCCAACGCAGAGUGAUAAUCCGGCUCCAGGAGAAGACAAUAACCAUUCUAGAGUGCUGUCAUUCUAUUUUGUUUUAUUUUAUCAUAUGUUAUUAGGAUAUUUUGUUUUGAUCACUUUUAUACUCUAGCCUCUUUAAAUAUCAAACCCACCCAUGUCGAAUGGGCUAUUCUUUACCAAAAAUCCAGAAUGUCAAACAGAACUCUACAUUUUAAAAAAGGACCCAGGGUGAGCCAAUCCAAAGACAUAUGUGUUAAAAAAUAAAACCAACGAACAAAAAGUAAGAACAAAUUUCAUGUUGCAUCACCUGCCUAUAAUAAACUUUUCAAAGUAAA